CAGGGAUUUUUCACAAUGAGCGAAGGCUUGAUGGAGCGCUGCCGCGUGAACGAUGAAGGUCUUUAAGAGUGAAAAGUUCUUUUAUUUGCCAAGAAUGACUUUACCAGGCGUGGCUACACUUGGACUGUACCAUUUUGACUAAGUGACGACCAAAUAGGUGCCAGCAGUCGCGGUAAUACAUAGGUCGCAAGCGUUAUCCGGAUUUAUUGGCCGAACCGCAAGCGCACGCGGAUUGAAAAGUCUGGUGUUAAAGGCAGCUGCUUAUUUGUUGUAUGCAUUGGAGACUAUUAAUCUAAAGUGUGGUAGGGAGUUUUGGAAUUUCAUGUGGAGCGGUGAAAUGCGUCUAUGUAUGAAGGAACAACAGUGGCGAAGGCGAAAUUUUAGGCCAUUACUGACGCUAAUGCUUGACGAUGUGCGGAGCAUCUAAGACUAUAUAACCUAGUCGUCCAUCCCACCAUCGACGAAGACUACCUGUCAUGCCGAUCCNCUCUUCACAUGACCUAACACAUUACUUAUCUCGCCUGANUAUCACUUNCNUCNGAGU
Molecule: ribosomal RNA, 544 nt
Filed under: uncultured bacterium
Lineage: Bacteria
Description: bacterial SSU rRNA
Rfam family: Bacterial small subunit ribosomal RNA
Source: RNAcentral